This is a non-coding RNA of Dermacentor andersoni, 1265 nucleotides long. Lineage: Eukaryota; Metazoa; Arthropoda; Arachnida; Ixodida; Ixodidae. The record is from RefSeq and is a predicted model, not a curated record.
CAUUAUGCUUCGCUCUAAAAUUUUGCCCUGAGAAAAACAAAUGCUUGAUCCUCAUCAGGAAAAAAGAAAAGAUGUCACUGAACCUCUUCUUCAUAACUACUGAGUUCCACAACAUGUCUACGAUUCAACUUUGUAACGCUAGUUCUGUGCAUUACACACCCUGAAAUGCAGACUGAACAUACAAGUGUCCAGGGUACUUAAUCUUCUUUCUUCUUCUAAAUUACCCCAUAAGAUAUUCUGCACAGCCAACGUGGGCUUACAAUAAACCGAUUCCCCUUGACACACUGCAUACAUGUAACAUUUGCUUUAUUUUAUUAUCCUGAUCAGCUUUCAAGUCAUAGAAGGAAAAGGUGGAGAAAGACACACGCAGUCACUUCAUUGCAAGGACAGGUACAGAGACUUGCGGCCACCUGAAAAAGAAGCAUUUCUACUUCGUCUGUCACCGGUCUGGAAGUUAUGCUUCACAAGCUACAAGUAAACAAAAGCUGAAGCGGCCUUCAAGUGUCAAGUGUGGAAAAAGAUGUUUUGCGGCAAUGGCUGUGACUGAAGACAACACAGGGCACUAAACUUCAGUAAAAAAAAUUUUAUGAGCCGCACAUUCUAGCAGACAAAAUAAACUGCAAGUACAUUGCUGGAGAAAAAGAAUGUCUCAUGUUGGUCUUGCAUAUAUAAGUUACACUGUUCUACAAUACGCUUGGACGAAAAUGAAAAGAAAAUGGUGGCACCUAUGGUUUGGAAAAUAUGACAAGCUGCGAGAAGGCGUGUCCAUGGAUGCAGUACUGGAUAAUGUGCGGUCCAACGUGGAUGAGACAUUCCACCGCAUUAACCUGUUAAGCAAGCAGGAUCUCCGCAAAAUAAUGAGGGAUGCCAGAGUCUCGAAGACCGAGCGGCUGCACGAUAAUGACUAUGUGAGCAUGCAACUCUGGGUUGAGAGGAUGCAUAGUGAAAAGGAAAACCCAUUGCUCUUCUUUAAACACCAAGGACAACCCGACAAAAAGUGACAUUUUCUUAGAGAAAAAAUAUGAGGACCUUUUGGAUGACAGAGAUCUUAUGCUAGUCAUCAUGACCACACCACAACAGGAGCUUUUCAAGAGGCUUGAAACUGAUCGUAUAUGUGUCGAUGGAACACAUGGAACAGCAGGUGAGCAGUACUAUAUAAAUGCAUUAAUAAUAAAAGCAAGAAAGAGGGAAUGCUGUCCGAGAAUAAUUGCAAUAGAUAUGAUGAGUAGUAUUCCUUCACACAUGAUAUUUCUCUUAAUUUUUCA